GUGGGGAAUCUUCCGCAAUGGACGAAAGUCUGACGGAGCAACGCCGCGUGAGUGAAGAAGGUUUUCGGAUCGUAAAGCUCUUUCGUUAGGGACGAACGUGCUCUUUGUGAAUAAUGAGGAGUAAUGACGGUACCUAAAUAAGAAGCCACGGCUAACUACGUGCCAGCAGCCGCGGUAAUACGUAGGUGGCAAGCGUUGGCCGGAAUUAUUGGGCGUAAAGCGCGCGCAGGCGGGAUAUCAAGUCUGUCUUAAAAGUGAGAGGCUCAACCUCGUGAGGGGACAGAAACUGGUAUUCUUGGGUGUCGGAGAGGAAAGUGGAAUUCCAAGUGUAGCGGUGAAAUGCGUAGAGAUUUGGAAGAACACCAGUGGCGAAGGCGACUUUCUGGACGAUGUCUGACGCUGAGGCGCGAAAGCUAGGGGAGCGAACGGGAUUAGAAACCCGUGUAGUCC
Molecule: ribosomal RNA, 450 nt
Filed under: uncultured bacterium
Lineage: Bacteria
Description: partial 16S ribosomal RNA
Rfam family: Bacterial small subunit ribosomal RNA
Source: RNAcentral